This is a long non-coding RNA of Papaver somniferum (opium poppy), 2168 nucleotides long. RefSeq lists it as uncharacterized. NCBI's taxonomy places the organism in Eukaryota, Viridiplantae, Streptophyta, Magnoliopsida, Ranunculales, Papaveraceae. The record is from RefSeq and is a predicted model, not a curated record. The transcript has 6 exons.
CGGGCAGGCUAGGAAACUUCACCCAAACCGUUGAAUGAGAAGUACAUUGCUUAUCUGCAUCAAACCCUGGAUACCAUUCGAUCAAACGAAGAGGCUGAUCAUUAACAAUCCAUGGAGUUUUGUUGCCAUCCUUGAAAACUUUGUCCUUGUCAUCUUGAGUUAAUAGUUUUAUAAUGAAGAAACCACGGUUCAUAGGGAUAAACUGAACCCCAGCUUCUCCCAAACCCCAUUGCUGUUCCAGAUUUUUCUUAACAUCAAUGAGCUUCACACCUUUGAGAUCUAAUCUUCCAAUAAGGCUAAAUCUCCAUAUUUGACAGCCUUCUUCAUAAUAGUCUUGAGGAAUAACAACUAAGAACCAUUUUUCUGUUUCACUCACAAAACAUAAAAAAAACAAAAAAAAACCCUAAGAACAAACCCUACGAUAUGCUUUGUUCAUGGAAGAGGAAGAAUAGGAUGUUGGUGUCGCUGAUUUGUGUGGUUGUCAUGGAGUUGGAGAUGGGUUUGUGCGAUUUGGAGUCUGCCAAGGGUUUGAGGAGAACACACUCAACUCCCCGCGGUAACAUCAGAUCAUGCACACCAAGUGUUUGAGGAAAGUCCUAAGAAACCAGUUGAAGCUGCAGUCUUCACACACUUGGAAAAACACAGAUCGUGGACAGAGUUUGGGUGGAGAAAUCAUUCAUGCAUCUCUUGAUGCUGUCCAUUGGCAGAACUGUAGCAUCAAGGUAUAAUACUUUAAUCUGAAGAUAUUUCUUAUCUUCGAUCUUGGUGGUGGUACAUUUGAAAAUAUCUUUGAGUUUAAGGCUAUGUGGACGAAGAUUAUAGGAGCUGGAUCGUGGGGGUUCAAGUUUUGAAUGUUUUUCCGUGUAUUAAAGGCCUAACAACUUCAACUAAAACGAGGUAAAAGCAUGUAGUCACAAGGUUCACCCCAAAGAAGACAGAGCUGCUUCACUAUAACACGCACCAGACUCCGUUCGACAAUUUGAAUGUUAAGCUUGAAGCUUUUUAUAAAAGGUCUUCCUUGCAGAGAUCUUGAAGCUCGAUGUUGUGGCCGUGAGACAUGCUCUUGAAUCCAUAUUUUAAUCACGUUGGUGGCAGGUAAUUUCCAUGUCUGUGUGUUUUAUCCAAAUAAAUCAAAAUGGAUUUUCGUAAUGAGUACUUCUAAGAAACUCUAUGCUGGCAAGAUAAGAACAGAGAAAUCAAAGGGAGCAUUUCAUCACUCAGAGUUUCCUUGCCGGUGGGGCUGUUUUAUCUACCAUGGACCGGGUAAGGCCGAAACAAGGAAAAACAACCUAGGAUAUUUGAUUUCUGGAUCGGUACCAUACAAGGACAUCUGAACAGCAACAAGUAUGUCGACAGUAUCUACUUCAGCACUAAUGGCCGAGAGUUUGGCAGCAACAGAAGCCGUUAAAUGGGCGACACAGACAGGUCUAAAGAAGGUGAUACUGGAAGGGGAUAGUCAAGAUGUCAUGGACUUCAUGGAAGGCAAAAUAGGGAAAAUGAAGUUGCAAAAUAGGCAAAAUAGCCGAAAAGAUAGAAUAACUGAAUGCUUACAAGUUGGAACUCUUAAAUUGAAGCUUGCAGGUGUCAGAGCUAAUGGCAUUCAAACAGAAGCUUUUCUCAGUCUAAAGUAGAGGGGGUAGUUGCCGAUUAACCUAAACAUGUUAAAGAUGAGUUUUUUGCUGUCAAUUAAUCACUACGUACGAUGUGCAGAUUAACCUAAACAUGUGACACAACUAUGCCACACAAAAACUAUCGUCAACGGAAAAUUUGCAUAACCUCCCAGUCUUUGGAGGGAACAGGGGACAGUUUGGUUGGUAGUGUCGGAAAGGAAUUGUCAGCAUGACAUGCAUAUGUACAAGAGUGGGUAAGAUUGGUGAAGGCAUCACCCCAGUCCCAGACAUCAUUGUGAACCUUAUAUGUUCCUUUUCUGAAAGACAAAUGUUCAGUUUAUUGAUUUUAUCAGGGUAUAUGUCGCAGUUCAUGUGUGGUAGGAGGGCGAUGCUCCUCCCUUAACUGAUAGUUGUAGCACCAGUUAGAGCCAAAGGCCUUCAGUUGGUCUCUAUUUGUAUAGUUUUUCCUUUGGUGGGCUAUAUAGUGGCUUUGUCAUAUUUAGCACACCUUAUUAAACAGAACGAGCAAUGUAGAAAUGCAAUAAGUAUUAUUCAGCA